Molecule: transfer RNA, 74 nt
Filed under: Corynebacterium atypicum
Lineage: Bacteria; Bacillati; Actinomycetota; Actinomycetes; Mycobacteriales; Corynebacteriaceae
Description: tRNA-Arg (CCT) (tRNA-Arg-CCT-1-1)
Rfam family: tRNA
About the family: Transfer RNA (tRNA) molecules are approximately 80 nucleotides in length.
Source: RNAcentral
GCCCUAGUAGCUCAGUGGAUAGAGCACCGCUCUCCUAAAGCGGGUUGUCGGAGGUUCGAUUCCUCUCUAGGGCA